This 492-nucleotide ribosomal RNA is filed under the name uncultured bacterium. RNAcentral describes it as "partial 16S ribosomal RNA". It matches the Rfam family "Bacterial small subunit ribosomal RNA", at positions 29 to 507 of the family's 1533-position model. The record is from RNAcentral.
AGUGAACGCUGGCGGUAGGCCUAACACAUGCAAGUCGAACGGCAGCACAGUAAUUUCUUGCUCUUACGGGUUGCGAGUGGCGUACGGGUGAUGUAUACAUCGGAAUCUACUUUUUCGUGUGUCUUUACGUAGGUAAACUUACGCUAAUACCGCAUACUACCUACCGUUGAAUGCAUUGGAUCUUCUCACCUUUCGCGAUUGUAUUAGCCGAUGUCGGAUUAGCUAGUUGGCGGGGUAAAGGCCCACCAAGGCGACGAUCCGUAGCUGGUCUGAGAGGAUGAUCAGCGACACUGGAACAGAGACACGGACAAGAGUACUACGGGAGGCAGCAGAGGGGAAUAUUGGACAAUGGGGGGAAGCAUGAUCCAGCAAUACCGAGUGGGUGAAGAAGGCGGUGGGGUUGGAAAGACCUUUUGUUGGGAAAGAAAAGCAGCAGGUUAAGACGAAGCUGUAGUGACGGUAACGAAAGAAUAAGCACCGGCUAACUACGUG